UACAUAGGAAGUGGGUAUAGAAAAGAGAU
Molecule: non-coding RNA, 29 nt
Filed under: Mus musculus (house mouse)
Lineage: Eukaryota; Metazoa; Chordata; Mammalia; Rodentia; Muridae
Source: RNAcentral